Molecule: ribosomal RNA, 673 nt
Filed under: uncultured bacterium
Lineage: Bacteria
Description: bacterial SSU rRNA
Rfam family: Bacterial small subunit ribosomal RNA
Source: RNAcentral
AGAGUUUGAUCAUGGCUCAGGAUGAACGCUGGCGGUAUGCUUUACACAUGCAAGUCGUACGAGAGUUUUUAACUCAAGUGGCGGACGGGUGAGUAACACGUAAGAAUUUGCCUUUAGGAGGGGGACAACAACUGGAACGGUUGCUAAUACCCCAUAUGCUUUCGAGUGAAACGGAUUUUUCCGCCUAAAGAGGAGCUUGCGGCUGAUUAGCUUGUUGGUGAGGUAAUGGCUCACCAAGGCGACGAUCAGUAUCUGGUUUGAGAGGACGAUCAGACACACUGGAACUGAGACACGGUCCAGACUCCUACGGGAGGCAGCAGUGGGGAAUUUUCCGCAAUGGGCGAAAGCCUGACGGAGCAAUACCGCGUGAGGGAUGACGGCCUAUGGGUUGUAAACCUCUUUUCUCAGGGAGGAAUCAAUGACGUGUACCUGAGGAAUAAGCAUCGGCUAACUCCGUGCCAGCAGCCGCGGUAAGACGGAGGAUGCAAGUGUUAUCCGGAAUCACUGGGCGUAAAGCGUCUGUAGGUGGUCCAAUAAGUCAACUGUUAAAUCUUGAGGCUCAACCUCAAAAUCGCAGUCGAAACUAUUAGACUAGAGUAUAGUAGGGGUAAAGGGAAUUUCCAGUGGAGCGGUGAAAUGCGUAGAGAUUGGAAAGAACACCGAUGGCGAAGGC